Molecule: long non-coding RNA, 380 nt
Organism: Topomyia yanbarensis
Lineage: Eukaryota; Metazoa; Arthropoda; Insecta; Diptera; Culicidae
Exons: 3
Source: RefSeq, a predicted model, not a curated record
AAAAAAAUAGUUGUCUGCAUGUUGACGCCGUCUUGGUCCGGUUUGUGGCACUGAACUAACUGACUAAACAUUACAUCGGGACGGAAAUUGGUGCUGGACAUAUCACGAAAAAAUAUCCGCGAGGAGCUGCUGUGACUGUUGUGCCCUAACCUUAGGUCUCCUUGAUGACAUCCGAUAUGGAGGUGACCGUUUAAAAUUUACACCGCGGAGUUUCUGGUUUGAUGCCAUUACGAUGGAUUGGUGCACAGGCUCUUGUCAAUGAUAUCUAAAACAUUCAAGAUGCACUCCGUGAAGAUCCCGUCCUACACCGUACGUAUUAUCGUACACGUUUCAUUGGUGAAUGUCCCUUUUCACAACAUGGAAUUGAUUUGGCACCACAU